CCUGCAGGAAAGGACAUCAACCGAGACUCCGCAAGUAGUGGCGAGCGAACGCGGACCAGGCCAGUGGCACUGAGGAAUAAAGUGGAACGACAUGGAAAGGUCGGCCGUAGAGGGUGAUAGCCCCUUACACGUAGAACACUCAGUGUCCUUGAGUAAGGCGGGACACGUGAAAUCCUGUCUGAACAUGGGGAGACCACUCUCCAAGCCUAAGUACUCGUGCAUGACCGAUAGCGAACAAGUACCGUGAGGGAAAGGUGAAAAGCACCCCGACAAGGGGAGUGAAAUAGAACCUGAAACCGGAUGCCUACAAACAGUCGGAGCCCGCAAGGGUGACGGCGUACCUUUUGUAUAAUGGGUCAACGACUUAGUGUGACGAGCAAGCUUAAGCCGAUAGGUGAAGGCGCAGCGAAAGCGAGUCUGAACAGGGCGUUCAGUUCGUCGCAUUAGACCCGAAACCGAGUGAUCUAGCCAUGAGCAGGUUGAAGGUUGGGUAACACCAACUGGAGGACCGAACCCGCAUCUGUUGCAAUAGAUUGGGAUGACUUGUGGCUAGGGGUGAAAGGCCAAUCAAACUCGGAAAUAGCUGGUUCUCCGCGAAAACUAUUUAGGUAGUGCGUCGACCGAAUACCCUCGGGGGUAGAGCACUGGAUGGGCUAUGGGGACUCACCGUCUUACUGAUCCUAACCAAACUCCGAAUACCGAGGAGUACUAGUCGGCAGACACACGGCGGGUGCUAACGUCCGUCGUGAAGAGGGCAACAACCCUGACCUCCAGCUAAGGUCCCCAAGUCAUGGCUAAGUGGGAAAGGAUGUGAGGAUCCCAAAACAACCAGGAUGUUGGCUUAGAAGCAGCCAUCAUUUAAAGAAAGCGUAACAGCUCACUGGUCUAAUUAAGGGUCUUUGCGCCGAAAAUGUAACGGGGCUAAAGCCAUGCACCGAAGCUGAGGAUACGUCGCAAGACGUGUGGUAGCGGAGCGUUCCGUAAGCCUGUGAAGGGAUACCUGUGAGGGGUCCUGGAGGUAUCGGAAGUGCGAAUGUUGACAUGAGUAACGAUAAAGAGGGUGAGAGACCCUCUCGCCGAAAGACCAAGGGUUCCUGCUUAAAGUUAAUCUGAGCAGGGUUAGCCGGCCCCUAAGACGAGGCGGACACGCGUAGUCGAUGGGAACCACGUUAAUAUUCGUGGGCCUGGUGGUAGUGACGGAUUGCUUAACUUGUACAUUCUUAUUGGAUUGGGUGUGCAGGGACGCGGUUCCAGGAAAUAGCUCCACCGUAUAGACCGUACCCGAAACCGACACAGGUGGUCAGGUAGAGUAUACCAAGGCGCUUGAGAGAACUAUGCUGAAGGAACUCGGCAAAUUGCACGCGUAACUUCGGAAGAAGCGUGACCCUUUUUGACGCAAGUCAGAAAGGGUGGCACAGACCAGGGGGUAGCGACUGUUUAUCAAAAACACAGGGCUCUGCGAAGUCGCAAGACGACGUAUAGGGUCUGACGCCUGCCCGGUGCUGGAAGGUUAAGAGGAGGGGUGCAAGCUCUGAAUCGAAGCCCCAGUAAACGGCGGCCGUAACUAUAACGGUCCUAAGGUAGCGAAAUUCCUUGUCGGGUAAGUUCCGACCUGCACGAAUGGCGUAACGACUUCCCCGCUGUCUCCAGCAUAGACUCAGUGAAAUUGAAUUCCCCGUGAAGAUGCGGGGUUCCUGCGGUCAGACGGAAAGACCCCGUGCACCUUUACUAUAGCUUUACACUGGCAUUCGUGUCGGCAUGUGUAGGAUAGGUGGUAGGCUUUGAAGCAGGGACGCCAGUUCUUGUGGAGCCAUCCUUGAAAUACCACCCUUAUCGUCAUGGAUGUCUAACCGCGGUCCGUUAUCCGGAUCCGGGACAGUGUAU
This 1884-nucleotide ribosomal RNA is filed under the name Ensifer adhaerens. RNAcentral describes it as "bacterial LSU rRNA". It matches the Rfam family "Bacterial large subunit ribosomal RNA", at positions 209 to 2259 of the family's 2925-position model. The record is from RNAcentral. Lineage: Bacteria; Pseudomonadati; Pseudomonadota; Alphaproteobacteria; Hyphomicrobiales; Rhizobiaceae. RNAcentral also lists the same sequence under 1 other name.